RNAcentral lists this ribosomal RNA (492 nucleotides) under uncultured bacterium. RNAcentral's name for it is "partial 16S ribosomal RNA". It matches the Rfam family "Bacterial small subunit ribosomal RNA", at positions 29 to 507 of the family's 1533-position model. The record is from RNAcentral.
AGUGAACGCUGGCGGUAGGCCUAACACAUGCAAGUCGAACGGCAGCACAGUAAGAGCUUGCCCUUACGGGUGGCGAGUGGCGGACGGGUGAGGAAUACAUCGGAAUCUACUUUUUCGUGGGGGAUAACGUAGGGAAACUUACGCUAAUACCGCAUACGACCUACGGGUGAAACCAGGGGAUCUUCGGACCUUGCGCGAUUGAAUGAGCCGAUGUCGGAUUAGCUAGUUGGCGGGGUAAAGGCCCACCAAGGCGACGAUCCGUAGCUGGUCUGAGAGGAUGAUCAGCCACACUGGAACUGAGACACGGUCCAGACUCCUACGGGAGGCAGCAGUGGGGAAUAUUGGACAAUGGGCGCAAGCCUGAUCCAGCCAUACCGCGUGGGUGAAGAAGGCCUUCGGGUUGUAAAGCCCUUUUGUUGGGAAAGAAAAGCAGCAGGUUAAUACCCCGCUGUUCUGACGGUACCCAAAGAAUAAGCACCGGCUAACUUCGUG